RNAcentral lists this ribosomal RNA (254 nucleotides) under uncultured bacterium. Its description in RNAcentral is "partial 16S ribosomal RNA". It matches the Rfam family "Bacterial small subunit ribosomal RNA", at positions 524 to 776 of the family's 1533-position model. The record is from RNAcentral.
UACGUAGGGUGCGAGCGUUGUCCGGAAUUAUUGGGCGUAAAGGGCUCGUAGGCGGUUUGUCGCGUCGGGGAGUGAAAACCUUGGGCUUAACUCAGGGCUUGCUUUCGAUACGGGCAGACUAGAGGUAUGCAGGGGAGAACGGAAUUCCUGGUGUAGCGGUGAAAUGCGCAGAUAUCAGGAGGAACACCGGUGGCGAAGGCGGUUCUCUGGGCAUGAUCUGACGCUGAGGAGCGAAAGCCAGGGGAGCAAACAGG